Molecule: ribosomal RNA, 462 nt
Filed under: uncultured bacterium
Lineage: Bacteria
Description: partial 16S ribosomal RNA
Rfam family: Bacterial small subunit ribosomal RNA
Source: RNAcentral
GAUGAAUGCUGGCGGCGCGCCUAACACAUGCAAGUCGAGCGGUAACAUGGACUUCGGUCUGAUGACGAGCGGCGGACGGCUGAGUAACGCGUGGGAACAUGCCCCAAAGUGAGGAAUAACUGCCCGAAAGGGUGGCUAAUGCCGCAUAUGAUCUUCGGAUUAAAGGAUUUAUCCGCUUUGGGAGUGGCCUGCGUACGAUUAGGUAGUUGGUGAGGUAAUGGCUCACCAAGCCUACGAUCGUUAACUGGUCUGAGAGGAUGAUCAGUCAGACUGGAACUGAGACACGGUCCAGACUCCUACGGGAGGCAGCAGUGAGGAAUCUUCCACAAUGGGCGAAAGCCUGAUGGAGCGACGCCGCGUGCAGGAUGAAGGCCUUCGGGUUGUAAACUGCUUUUAUAAGUGAAGAAUAUGACGGUAACUUAUGAAUAAGCACCGGCUAACUACGUGCCAGCAGCCGCCGCG